This is a long non-coding RNA of Lathyrus oleraceus (garden pea), 1923 nucleotides long. RefSeq lists it as uncharacterized. The record is from RefSeq and is a predicted model, not a curated record. The transcript is spliced from 2 exons. Lineage: Eukaryota; Viridiplantae; Streptophyta; Magnoliopsida; Fabales; Fabaceae.
GGUAGGUGAGAAACAAAAGAGUGGGUAUGAGGCCCACAAACAAAUCUAAAGUACAAGCACGAGGGAUUAGGCGCCCUUAAUUCAAACAGACUUCCUGUUUAAACAAUACCACCGGGAAUCUCCUACGUCUCUGUCGUGCUGGGAAUCGCCUCCGGCGGUGGCGGAGACCUAAACAUCACCAACUUUAACCCAUUCUGGCCGUCUCACCUCACUCUAUCAAAGCCCUAACUCAAUUCGCUCAAAUUCUCACUCACGACUACGAAUCGAAGUAAAACCCGUAAGAACCCUAUCUAUCAUUUCUUAAAUUACACGUCACAGAGACGGAAUUGGGAGCCCUAACCAUAUGGAUUUGUCUCCCCCGCACCAAACUACAUCAUAUCAACUAGUUUAGCAUGAAACAAGGGAGGAACGAAGGCUUACCUACCGAAACAGCUCCGGUGGCUCCUGGAGAUGGACGUUUGAUGUUUGCUGAUGAAAACCAGAGGCCUUCCUCUUCAGCUUUCACUUAUAAUUUCCUUGUUUAAGUUGCAAUAUAUCGAUCUUGAAUCUUCUUCUCCUUCUCCAAUCUUAGUCCGUAGGGAUGACUGAUUUGUUGUUGACGUGUGCGUGUGAGCUGGAGGAAUUAUUAAGGCUGAGCUCGGUUGUUUAGAGUUUCAAAGGUUGAGACUCUAGAAAUUGUGAAGAUUCAGAGCUUUUUAUGUGGGGAGGAUUUCAGUUAGAGAGAGUGAAUGAGGAACAUGAAUAUUGAGAGGGUGAGUUGUCGUAGAGCCCUAAACUGAAUUGUGAUCAUGGCAUUUAUAGGCUCUCAAAUUCCCUUAGAAACUCAAUUGAAAUUCGAAUCAAAUGCAAAUGAAAUUAGGAAGUUAGUUAUGGAGUUUGUUUGAGUUAGUUAGGAUGAACUCAGUGAGUUGAUUUUGUUGACUCACUGAGUUGACAGUUAGUUGUUAGUUGAUUAAGUGAGUUAGUUGAUUAAGUGAGUUAGUUGUUAGCAUUGUGAAUUCAGCGCAAAGCUUUUGAUUCUAUGUAUGUUUCCUUAUGUUAGUUAUAAUGGUCUUCCAAUUUGUGUCAUGUUAAAAAAUACAGGGGUUAUAUUAUUUUUCCUGGAAAAUGUAAGUUGUGUGUAGUUUAUGGAAGUUUGCAAUUGAUAAAAAAUGACCUGCUAGUGCAUGUAAUAUUUUUAACUGCAGGUUUGUUAGUUUGAUGGAAAUUGCAGGUUGAUUCCUUUUUCUGCUAAACUCUACUAUUAGUCAGUUAGCAGUCUAUGUUUACUGCACUUCUAUUAGGGCUUCCAUGAAUGUGCUAUGCAUUAGCAUGUUUGAAUGACUGCUUAGCUGCUAGGUUAUUUAUUGGUGUAACUAUUUGCUGCUAUGCUUGUUUGGAUGAGAUGGUUAAUUGGCUGCAACGGUUUUGUGUGUAAUGAUUUUAUAUUGACAUAUUGUUGCAUGUUCAAUCCUGCUAAUGCUGCUUAUGUUCACUUGAAACUCAUGCUAGGCCUAAUGCUUCAUGCUUGUUUGCUUCUAUGUUAGCUGUUGUGAAGGAAAUGUUGAAAUGGGCAUGUAGCAAACCAAGUUGCAGCAGGGCUGACAUGGAGCAGGGAUGAUGUAGGACUUGGCAUGUGGUCAUGGCUCCAACUCAUGGCAAUUUGAUGGAAAACAAAGCUUGGUGCAAAAGAUGAUUGCUUGUUCAUGAAGAAACUUGGCCAUGGAAUCCAAUGGAAAGAUUGUAAAUGAUAUGGACUUCAAGUAGAAAUUAGGGUUAGGUAAAUGGAAUAGGCCAAUUGACUUUGGUCAACUGGGUGACAAAAAAGUCAAUAGUUGACCAAAAGUUAACUGUAGGUCAAACUUGAUUUUUUUUUGUAAUUUUGUUGUAUAAACCAUUUGUAAAUGAUAUUGAAUGAAUGAAUGGACAUUUUUUUAAUGAAAA